RNAcentral lists this long non-coding RNA (291 nucleotides) under Elaeis guineensis (African oil palm). RNAcentral describes it as "long non-coding RNA (EGUI_LNC025885)". The record is from RNAcentral. Lineage: Eukaryota; Viridiplantae; Streptophyta; Magnoliopsida; Arecales; Arecaceae.
GGGUGGGCAACCAAGGGGUUGGCAUGUGAGGUUUGUGGAGAAUUGUCUCCUCUUUGGUGAGAGUUCUAGCCCUUGCCUUUAGAAUUUUUUUGGGAAAGAGAAAUCAGAUCAGAGAAAAGAUAUUUUCUUUGAUUUUCUUUCACUACUUACAUCCUCUAUUAGUCCAUCUUCAAUAUCGAAAGGGUCCGAGUUGAUCAAAGAAGAAGAAUCAGAUUAGCUGUCCUAAAAUCUUUUACGUGAGCUAGUACUCCCGUGAAGGCUUCGUGUGGACUUUCUGUAGAGGUUGGACAC